This 465-nucleotide ribosomal RNA is filed under the name uncultured bacterium. Its description in RNAcentral is "bacterial SSU rRNA". It matches the Rfam family "Bacterial small subunit ribosomal RNA", at positions 338 to 795 of the family's 1533-position model. The record is from RNAcentral.
CCUACGGGUGGCAGCAGUGGGGAAUUUUGGACAAUGGGGGCAACCCUGAUCCAGCCAUGCCGCGUGAGUGAAGAAGGCCUUCGGGUUGUAAAGCUCUUUCGGACGGAACGAAAUUGCCCUGGAUAACACCUGGGGUAGAUGACGGUACCGUAAGAAGAAGCACCGGCUAACUACGUGCCAGCAGCCGCGGUAAUACGUAGGGUGCGAGCGUUAAUCGGAAUUACUGGGCGUAAAGCGUGCGCAGGCGGUUUCGUAAGCUGGAGGUGAAAUCCCCGGGCUUAACCUGGGAACGGCCUUCAGGACUGCGAGGCUUGAGUACGGCAGAGGGAGGUAGAAUUCCGCGUGUAGCAGUGAAAUGCGUAGAUAUGCGGAGGAACACCGAUGGCGAAGGCAGCCUCCUGGGCCGAUACUGACGCUCAUGCACGAAAGCGUGGGGAGCAAACAGGAUUAGAUACCCGAGUAGUC